This 217-nucleotide non-coding RNA is filed under the name Paenibacillus sp. The record is from RNAcentral. Lineage: Bacteria; Bacillati; Bacillota; Bacilli; Caryophanales; Paenibacillaceae. RNAcentral also lists the same sequence under 1 other name.
ACGAAUAAUAGCCGACAAGGUCCUGGCAGUAUAUGACGUUAUUACAGCUGCUUAGGUUAAAAGGGAAGCCGGUGCAAAUCCGGCACGGUCCCGCCACUGUAUACCAGGGGCAGACAGCGUUAUAUCCACUGUUUCUUAUGCGAGAAAUGGGAAGGGCAGCUGUCCAGCCAUACCAAACCUGGAUAGUCAGGAGACCUGCCUUGCCGGAAGGAAGCGU